This is a non-coding RNA of Schistosoma haematobium, 45 nucleotides long. The record is from Rfam. NCBI's taxonomy places the organism in Eukaryota, Metazoa, Platyhelminthes, Trematoda, Strigeidida, Schistosomatidae.
AUCCAUCUAACGAGUCCCAAAUAGGACGAAACGCGCGUCCUGGAU